UACGGAGGGGGCCAGCGUUGUUCGGAAUCAUUGGGCGUAAAGGGCGCGUAGGCGGCUUUGUAAGUCCGUUGUGAAAUCCCUCGGCUCAACCGAGGAACUGCGACGGAUACUGCUUGGCUUGAGUCCCGGAGAGGGUAGCGGAAUUCCCAGUGUAGCGGUGAAAUGCGCAGAUAUUAGAAGGAACACCGGUGGCGAAGGCGCCACUCUGGGCCGAAACUGACGCUGAGGAGCGAAAGCGUGGGUAGCAAACAGG
This 253-nucleotide ribosomal RNA is filed under the name uncultured bacterium. RNAcentral describes it as "partial 16S ribosomal RNA". It matches the Rfam family "Bacterial small subunit ribosomal RNA", at positions 524 to 776 of the family's 1533-position model. The record is from RNAcentral.